UGGGGGAUAUUGCACGAUGGGGGGAACCCUGAUGCAGCGACGCCGCGUGGGUGAAGAAGCGCCUCGGCGCGUAAAGCCCUGUCAGCAGGGAAGAAAAUGACGGUACCUGAAGAAGAAGCCCCGGCUAACUACGUGCC
RNAcentral lists this ribosomal RNA (137 nucleotides) under uncultured bacterium. RNAcentral's name for it is "partial 16S ribosomal RNA". It matches the Rfam family "Bacterial small subunit ribosomal RNA", at positions 355 to 509 of the family's 1533-position model. The record is from RNAcentral.